RNAcentral lists this transfer RNA (65 nucleotides) under Dipodomys ordii (Ord's kangaroo rat). It matches the Rfam family "tRNA". Rfam says of the family: Transfer RNA (tRNA) molecules are approximately 80 nucleotides in length. Their secondary structure includes four short double-helical elements and three loops (D, anti-codon, and T loops). Lineage: Eukaryota; Metazoa; Chordata; Mammalia; Rodentia; Heteromyidae. The record is from Rfam by way of RNAcentral.
GGUGGCUCAGUGGUAGAGUGCUUGCCUUGCAUGCACGAGACCCUGAGUUCCAUUCCUCAGCACCA